This is a small RNA of Epilithonimonas sp., 108 nucleotides long. It matches the Rfam family "Flavo-1 RNA". NCBI's taxonomy places the organism in Bacteria, Pseudomonadati, Bacteroidota, Flavobacteriia, Flavobacteriales, Weeksellaceae. The record is from Rfam.
CCGCAAUAGGGAUAGUAGUGGAAAUCCUUUUUUGUAGUUGGGAAAUGUUCUAAUUAGAUUGGGAAACUUCUUCCACAAAAAAGAUUGUAGCGGAUAGCCCGACCCGAG